GACGAACGCUGGCGGCGUGCUUAACACAUGCAAGUCGAACGGAAAGGCCCUGCUUUUGUGGUGUGCUCGAGUGGCGAACGGGUGAGUAACACGUGAGUAAACUCUCCUUGACUGUGGGAUAACUUCACGAAACUGGGGCUAAUACCGGAUAGGAGCUCCUGCAGCACGGUGGGGGUUGGUAAGUGUCGGCGGUUGGGGAUGGACUCGCUGCUUAUCAGCUUGUUGGUCGGGUAGUUGCUUACCAGGGCUGUGAAGGCUAGCCGGCCUUGGAGGGUUACCGGCCACAUUGGGACUGAGAUACGGAGCAGUAUCCUAUGGUAGGCAGUAGUGGGGAAUAUUGCACAAUGGGCGGAAGCCUGAUGCAGCAGCGCCGCGUGCGGGAUGACGGCCUUCGGGUUGUAAACCGAUUUGGCCGGUGACGAAGCGUGAGUGACGGUAAUGGGUAAAGAAGCACCGGCUAACUACGUG
This 468-nucleotide ribosomal RNA is filed under the name uncultured bacterium. RNAcentral describes it as "partial 16S ribosomal RNA". It matches the Rfam family "Bacterial small subunit ribosomal RNA", at positions 28 to 507 of the family's 1533-position model. The record is from RNAcentral.